RNAcentral lists this ribosomal RNA (253 nucleotides) under uncultured bacterium. RNAcentral's name for it is "partial 16S ribosomal RNA". It matches the Rfam family "Bacterial small subunit ribosomal RNA", at positions 524 to 776 of the family's 1533-position model. The record is from RNAcentral.
UACGUAGGGGGCAAGCGUUAUCCGGAUUUACUGGGUGUAAAGGGAGCGUAGACGGCUUUGCAAGCCAGAUGUGAAAGCCCGGGGCUCAACCCCGGGACUGCAUUUGGAACUGUAUGACUGGAGUGUCGGAGAGGCAGGCGGAAUUCCUAGUGUAGCGGUGAAAUGCGUAGAUAUUAGGAGGAACACCAGUGGCGAAGGCGGCCUGCUGGACGAUGACUGACGUUGAGGCUCGAAAGCGUGGGGAGCAAACAGG